UGCGCCCGUAGCUCAAUUGGAUAGAGCGUCUGACUACGGAUCAGAAGGUUAGGGGUUCGACUCCUCUCGGGCGCGCC
Molecule: transfer RNA, 77 nt
Filed under: Shouchella lehensis G1
Lineage: Bacteria; Bacillati; Bacillota; Bacilli; Caryophanales; Bacillaceae
Description: Bacillus lehensis G1 tRNA-Arg
Rfam family: tRNA
About the family: Transfer RNA (tRNA) molecules are approximately 80 nucleotides in length.
Source: RNAcentral